RNAcentral lists this long non-coding RNA (5660 nucleotides) under Strongylocentrotus purpuratus (purple sea urchin). RNAcentral's name for it is "uncharacterized LOC115923632". Lineage: Eukaryota; Metazoa; Echinodermata; Echinoidea; Camarodonta; Strongylocentrotidae. The record is from RNAcentral.
GAGGAAGGAGUGAUGAAUCAGGAGGAGGAAGGAGGGAUGAAUCAGGAGGAAGGAGGGAUGAAUCAGGAGGAAGAAGGGACGAAGCAGGAGGAGGAAAAGGACCAUAUUGCGUAUUCAGGUCGGGGGUACACCCACUGGGAAACUUCCUCCAAAAAAUUGGUAUGCAACUACUUCGAGCAGUACCUGCUAAGAGAUACGAGAAAGAAGUUACCUGGUAAGAGAGAGGUUCACCAGUUCUUGGCAGCAUAUCCUGAUUUCAAGAUUAGAAACUUCAAAGUCAUCAGAAGCAAGGUCAUGAAUGAAAAAUCAAAAAGAGAUCGCUUGGUAAAAAAAAUGGAAAGCAACCAGUAGGAAAUUAUUCUCUAAUGCACCGGGUGAACUUUUUCAUUCUUUAGUUUGCCACACACAGCGAUUUCUUGAUAUACAAGUAUUUCGCUUCUACCAAACUUAAAAAUGAUUGGGGCGAGCUUUCGUCUGCUCCUGCAGACUUCCUCAUGUCAACUGAUUUGUCACACAGUUGCUGUCUUGGCGAUCACUGGAGCGAAGAUAGGUGACAAUGCGUACCCAGUGUCCCUAUUGAGUGCUGGAUUAAUGCUUUUUAUCUAGAUAGACUCUUUGACCUUCCUUGGCCAGAAAUAAGAUUCAAAGUCUAUGAUCUGUGUAUCAUCCCAGCGAAUGUUAUGUCCAGUAUUGAGGGCGUGUUCCGGCCACUGCUGAGUGGGUUGGAUUGUUUAAUCUGAGGGCCCUUUUGUGUUCUUUUAAUCGGUCAUUCAGUGUUCUUCCUGUUUCACCCACAUAAGAACUUUCUGUCAGUGCACUCCAGAGCCCUUUAUACACAGAGUUUGGCCAACUUGAUAACAGGCACCAUGUUGUAACCCUUGGCGCUGAUGCACCGCACCGUGCGCACGGGCGGGCUUAUGGUAUACACACAAUAUAGCUUACACUACUAGCCCUCAAACUGAUUGAUAUUUUCUGUUGCAGAAGAGUCAUGUUAUGGGAAGUCUCAGAUUCUUGGCAUUUCUUCUCUUUCCUUCAUGUAGUAGACUAUAAUUUUAAUGAGUUUAGGCCCAAUAGGAAUAGGCCCUAGUAUUAAGCGUAACCAUCUCUCUCCUUUUCAUUAAUUUCUCGUUUUUUUUUCUAACUAUAUAUGCCUGUGUGUCUCUUUAGCUGCCCCUACAUGUAUACCUCCAUAGGGUCUUCACAUAUGAAAUUGAAGCGUUUUCAACUCCCAAUGAGUGAUUUGGAGUUUGCUGGCAUUUUAGAUUGAUCUUUCAGUAUGUUCUUCAAAUUUAUGUAUACAUACAUUGUCUGUUGUGUUUUAGCACUGCAAGAGUAUUUAUCAUGAAUUCAGGCUAACUCCGGUCUGACCAAAACAUUUUAGUAUUGAUGUGUACCAAGAGGGGAGGAGGCCCUUGAAAGGUAUAAGCCCUGAUAUGUUUGCCAGUACAUAGUUUCGGUAUGCCCCCCCCCCCUUUCCAUUGUAUGAUGUAAGAAUGAUGUCACAAAACAUGCCCAAUUACCAAAUUUUAUCCACUUGCUACAGGUGAAAAUUACAAUUUUUUUAAAAUCAUCUGUUUUUAAUAGGGCACACCAAUAUAAUGAUCAUAACUAAUAUUAAUGAUUUAUACAUGUAUAUUGAUUUAUCCAUUCGAUUAUUUAUGUUUAUGUUUCAAUCCACUAUGCAUAGUGCCACUCAAAAUAUGUAUUAAUAUACGUAUUUAAAAUAACAGCUUUUCCAUGUAAUCAAACAUACCUACUGUAUGUUUUAACAGCACUUCCAUUACCCACUUCUUCACACAUUGUUUUUUAAUUCUCCUAUACAGUGUGAGUAAAAAAAAGAAGGAAACCCAACUUCGGUAGCUUCUUAUGAUAAUAUUAUAACAUAUAUGGAACCUUGCAAUUUAUUUCAUUGUAAAGAGUAACUUUACUGUCUACUGAUACCUUAUUCAUACUUUUCCUGCCACGGAUGACUGAGCACCAGGAGUUUCAAAAAGCUUUGUCAAAAUCGCCUUGUAUCAAGUUUGGGCUUAAGCAAUACGUGUGCGUCAAAAGCUACUAUGGAUUUGUUAUUGGAGUCUUGAAAUAAUGGCUAAGCUUUUUAAAUUGAUUUUGUGUAUUUGACUAGAAAAGGUGUUGAUUUGAACUUUAAAUGAAAGAAUAUCCUUAUUACAAGCAAUAUUUAAGAUAUCUUUGUUGUCAUUAAGACACAAUCUUGGUUUCCUCAACAUUCCUCGUAUGUAAGAGUUUCUUUAUUGAGUGUGUCAGCUUCAGAAUGUUGGUAGUGAAGAAGCUUUCUUUCAAAUGAAGUAAAAACACAGUUCAAAACACUAGCAUAUGUGUUCUAAACAGGCCUUCCUUGUAUUUUUUUAGUCUUUUAGGUUAGUUAACUAUUAAUUUAAUGUAGAUUGUGAGCUAGAUAACUUAUUCAGCUAAGUUGGUGCAAUCGACCAAUAAACAGAUGGUUUUGUGGCAAGAUAACAUUCUAAGAUAAGAGGUUUGUAGGCAGUUCAAAGUGCAUCCACAGCCAAUGAAACCUAAAAUAAAAUCCCUGUGAAAGUCUAGAUACUUAAAAUCACUUAACUCUGAAUAAUUGAAACACAAAACAUAUUUUAUCAUUUAAAAACGAUUUCAGACAAAGUAACAUGUGAUUAGAAGCCUUUGACACACACCCAUUGCUUAAGGUCAAACUUGGUACAAGGCGAUUUUGACCCCCCAAAAAUUGAAAAUCUUAGUGCUCAGUCAUCCGUGACAGAAACAUCAUAAAUGAGGUAUCGGUAGACAGAGUGAAGGUUAUUCUUUACAAUUAGAUACAUCUCAAGGUUUCAUAUGUUAUAAUAUUUUUAUAAGAAGCUACUAAAGUUAGGUUCCUUUUUUUUUACUCACAGUGUAUAGGAUACACCAAUGCAUGCUCAUUAUCACUUUUGUUGUUACACUGUGUAUGUUUAUGUUUUGAUUCACUAUACAUGGUGUUAAUAAAUUUCUGAUGCAAUAUACGCAAUUUAAAGAAAACGAUCAUUGGUUUAUUGAAACUAAAAUAUUGAGUAAUUUUACUGUCCAAAACAUACAUACUGUAAGUGCUACAACAGCACACCAAUAAACCAUUAUUUCACAUACACUUUUUAUACGCCGAAGGGUCGUAUUAUGGUAUGACGUCCGUCCGUCCGUCCGUUAGCCAAUUCUUGUGUAGAUAACUCCUCAUUCAUUGUUUAACGAAAUUUCUUCAAACUUGCAUGGAUGGAUGAUAUUGAUGUGUAGAUGUGCGUAAAGAUGAUAUAACUUGGGUACGCCAAGGCGUUGCCAUGGUAACCACAUUUUACUAAAAAAUUGAAAAAUUCUUGUGCGGAUAAUUCCUCAUUUACUUUUUAAUUAAAUUUCUUCAAAUUUGCAUGGAUGGAUGAUAUUGAUGUGUAGAUGUGCAUAAAGGUGAUAUAACUUGGGUACGACAAGGCAUUGCCAUGGUAACCACAUUUUACUAAAAAAAUAUUGAAAAAUUCUUGUGUGGAUAACUCAUUUACUUUGUAAUGAAAUUUCCUCAAACUUGCAUGGUUGGAUGAUAUUGAUGUGUAGAUGUGCAUAAAGGUGAAACUUCGGGCGUAUAAUGCUCCGACUUGCGGUGCUCUUGUUUAAAGAUCUUUUUGAUAUUCUAUAUGACACACCAAUUUAAUUAUAUUACUUAUUUCGUAUAUUUUUGUUAAUUUCUUCAAUUUGAAUAUCUGUAUCUGUAAAUGCAUCGUCAUUUGGGCUUGCUGCUAUGAUUUUAUUUAUUUAUCUAUCUUUCCUUACAUGAAGAACAAGAUAUUUUUAAUUGUUUAUAACUGCAUAGCACCAAGAAAAUUAUCAAACUGGUGACUCAAUUGGAAAAUUAUUGUGGUUUGCAUCAAUUAAUGUAUUUUUGUGCAUUCAUAGAACACUUAGCAAUCCUAUGGAUAUUGAAAUUUGGUGUGUGACAGCAAAUUUUCACGUAGUUUUGGAUGCAGGUUUCUGAGACAGUAAAAUUGGGAAGUUGUAAGCAGGCCUGGUUGUAAGCAGUGUAGGUCCACAAGUACAAUCAUGGGUCUGUAAUAAACACUGUGACAAAUGAAAUGAUAUGCCUGUAUUAAUAACUGGAAUAGCGAAAAGUGACAUUUUUACUGUGGAGUCUCAUAUGUUGCUUUAGGAGUAAGGCCACCGCACACCUUACGACUGGUCUACGACUGGAUUUUGAAAGAAAUUGCAAUUUGAAGAGAAAUUGAGUUUCAAUUUGAAAAUUUGUAUCUGACUGAGGUCCAGAAUGGUUAUAUCAAUAUAAUUAUCGAAAAUAUAUGGUAUUUGAAGUAUUUCAGACAGAGAAAAGGCCAAAUCUCCCAGUUACCAGUUGGUGGCCAGUCGUGCCUGUGUGACGUCGCUACGAUUCGCAGCCGAUCGGGCCUUUUCUCCAACUGAAAAGGCCAUAACACCCUGCAAUUUUUAUAUUGAUAUUGACAUGACAAUUCGGGACCUCAAUCAGUAGGAAUUUACAUUCUAAACAUUCUAUAUCUAAUCCUAUCAUAAUUUCUUUCAAAAUCCAGUCGUAGACCAGUCGUAAGGUGUGCGGUGGCCUUUAGGGCUUGUUGGAUAGGAUGUGUAAAAUUCCUUCAGUAUUGUAAGUGUUUAUAGAUACAGCGCAACAAACCCCCACACUUAUGUUAAUGAACCUGAAUUAAAUCACAAAUAAAAGGGAUCUUUGUCAAAAAAUUUGCAGACAAACUCAUGACAUCAUUUUGCAUUUACUUUUUAGGAAUUUAUUUGUUCCAAAGCUUUUUGAAGUCAGGCGGCAACAAAUUGUCUCCUGCCUCGCCAACAUUUUUUUUUUUUUUUUUUUUGGUCGCCUUAUAUUCCAUUGACUUGUACAUUAAAAUUGUUUGGGUUUGUUGCGCCAUAUCUGAACAAACCUUGAGAUAUGAGGGCUAUGGUAAUAAACUCAACAGCAUGGAUUAGAGCAGCGGGCAGGGCGUAGAUAUGUGACGUCACACUAUUCAAGUAGAUCACCCCCCCCCCCCCUGAACAAUAGGUUCACUGCUCGAAUCUUCGCCAGUGUUAAACUGAGCAGCGCUUCUCAACCAGUGGGCCAUGAGGAUGGCCAAAACAUUGUUUUAGAAUAAAAAUGAACCAGCUUGAGUUCAGCUUUACUGUCAAAUUAAUAAGUGGCAAAGUGGGCCUUGAGUUAAGAAAGGGUGAGAAGCACGUACUGGAUUAGGGGGUUGACUCUUUGUAAUUUGAAUUUGCAACCAUGCCGAAUCACACCACCUAAGUAACAUCUUUUUCCUGCUGCUUGGGCAGGAUUGGUGCCUUCUAUGAGGUCAUAACAUUGUUAUUGUUGAAUUUCUGCGCAAAAAUAAUGUUGGAAUUCACAGUGAAUUAUUGAAAUUACAAAUUUGAAUUAGUGAUAUCACAAAUUGAAUCUGUGAUAUCACAAAACAUAAUUCUUGUUGUGAAUUGUAUUAUGUUCUGGAACAUUAAACAUACAAGACUGUUAACCUAACUAGUCAGAUUUGUCUACAUUGCAGUGAUGUGCAGUAAUGUUGGAAUUCACACUGAAUUCUUGAUAUUACAAAUUUGAAUUAGUGAUAUCACAAAACAGAAUUCUUGUUGUAAAUUGUAUUAUGUCCUGGAACAUUAAACAUACAAGACGGUUAGCCUGA